UUCCAGACUCCUACGGGAGGCAGCAGUGGGGGAUAUUGCACAAUGGGGGGAACCCUGAUGCAGCGACGCCGCGUGGGUGAAGAAGCGCCUCGGCGCGUAAAGCCCUGUCAGCAGGGAAGAAAAUGACGGUACCUGAAGAAGAAGCCCCGGCUAACUACGUGCCAGCAGCCGCGGUAAUACGUAGGGGGCAAGCGUUAUCCGGAUUUACUGGGUGUAAAGGGGGCGCAGACGGCGAUGCAAGCCAGGAGUGAAAGCCCGGGGCCCAACCCCAGGACUGCUCUUGGAACUGCGUGGCUGGAGUGCAGGAGGGGCAGGCGGAAUUCCUAGUGUAGCGGUGAAAUGCGUAGAUAUUAGGAGGAACACCAGUGGCGAAGGCGGCCUGCUGGGCUUUUACUGGCGCUGAGGCUCGAAAGUGUGGGGAGCAAACAGGAUUAGAUACCCUGGUAC
This 447-nucleotide ribosomal RNA is filed under the name uncultured bacterium. RNAcentral describes it as "bacterial SSU rRNA". It matches the Rfam family "Bacterial small subunit ribosomal RNA", at positions 329 to 793 of the family's 1533-position model. The record is from RNAcentral.